AACGAACGCUGGCGGCAUGCCUAACACAUGUAAGUCGAACGAGACCUUCGGGUCUAGUGGCGCACGGGUGCGUAACGCGUGGGAACCUGCCCUUAGGUUCGGAAUAACUCCCCGAAAGGGGUGCUAAUACCGGAUAAUGUCUUCGGACCAAAGAUUUAUCGCCUUUGGAUGGGCCCGCGUUGGAUUAGCUAGUUGGUAGGGUAAAAGCCUACCAAGGCGACGAUCCAUAGCUGGUCUGAGAGGAUGAUCAGCCACACUGGGACUGAGACACGGCCCAGACUCCUACGGGAGGCAGCAGUGGGGAAUAUUGGACAAUGGGCGAAAGCCUGAUCCAGCAAUGCCGCGUGAGUGAUGAAGGCCUUAGGGUUGUAAAGCUCUUUUACCCGGGAUGAUAAUGACAGUACCGGGAGAAUAAGCUCCGGCUAACUCCGU
RNAcentral lists this ribosomal RNA (432 nucleotides) under uncultured bacterium. RNAcentral describes it as "partial 16S ribosomal RNA". It matches the Rfam family "Bacterial small subunit ribosomal RNA", at positions 29 to 506 of the family's 1533-position model. The record is from RNAcentral.